CCCUUCUUUCCAAAAAGCAUCCUGCUAAAAUCACCACUGUAAAGCCUUUAAGGCUCUACAUUUGGUGUUAAUGACAGCAGCGAUUUAUUUCAAAAGAAGGGAGAGAAAAAGCAUGACGUCGGAAAUGAGGGGAGGAGGGACCUCUUUCUUAAUGUCCAGUGUCCUCAUCCUCGAGAUUCUGUGCAACAAAA
Small nucleolar RNA from Engraulis encrasicolus (European anchovy), 191 nucleotides. RefSeq annotates it as small nucleolar RNA SNORA81. Lineage: Eukaryota; Metazoa; Chordata; Actinopteri; Clupeiformes; Engraulidae. The record is from RefSeq and is a predicted model, not a curated record. The transcript has a single exon.